Triticum aestivum (bread wheat) is the source of this 115-nucleotide non-coding RNA. NCBI's taxonomy places the organism in Eukaryota, Viridiplantae, Streptophyta, Magnoliopsida, Poales, Poaceae. The record is from Rfam.
CCUAUACUCCCUUCGUUCGGAAUUACUUGUCUCGGAAAUGGAUUUAUCUAGAACUAAAAUACGUCUAGAUACAUCCAUUUUCGCGACAAGUAAUUCCGAACGGAGGGAGUAGUAU